This is an RNA transcript of Lathyrus oleraceus (garden pea), 1349 nucleotides long. It is a transcript of the gene named adenylyl-sulfate kinase 3, with no coding region annotated. The transcript has 8 exons. The record is from RefSeq and is a predicted model, not a curated record. NCBI's taxonomy places the organism in Eukaryota, Viridiplantae, Streptophyta, Magnoliopsida, Fabales, Fabaceae.
GCAUACGAGUACAUCUCCAUCCGUGAAGACUUACGAGAAACACAGGAGAGGAUCGCGUCAGUGUAUGUGUCCAGAUUCAUUCAUUCAUUUCCUUCAAACAUUACCUACCCGCUUUCAAUGCCCUCGCAUUCGCCAUUUUUCCAUUUUCGUAACAUGACAUUUGGCACAAAACCACUCACCAAAAUAGCAAAACCUCAUUCAUAUCUCCCCAAUUACCAAUACCAUCAACUUUCAACACAUUCAGACACCCCCAACUUUCUUCCUGAUAAAACUAGUGAAACUGUUUCAAUGUCAACUGUGAGCAAUGCUACAAAUAUAUUUUGGCAAGAUUGUCAACUAGGAAAGCCUGAACGCCAGAAGCUACUUAACCAAAAGGGAUGCGUUGUAUGGAUUACUGGACUCAGCGGAUCAGGAAAAAGCACAUUGGCAUGUUCUUUAAGCAGCGAACUGCACUCAAAGGGAAAAUUAUCUUAUAUUCUUGAUGGAGAUAACCUUCGCCAUGGACUAAACAAGGAUCUUGGUUUUAAACCUGAAGACCGCACUGAAAAUAUUCGCAGAACUGGUGAAGUGGCGAAACUCUUCGCGGAUGCUGGUCUAAUAUGUGUUGCGAGUCUGAUAUCUCCUUAUCGAAGAGACCGGGAUACUUGUCGUGCCAUGUUGCCUGAUGCCAAUUUUAUUGAGGUCUACAUGAACAUGCCUCUAGCAUUGUGCGAGGCACGGGAUCCUAAAGGCCUCUAUAAGCUUGCUCGUGCUGGAAAGAUCAAAGGUUUUACCGGCAUUGAUGAUCCGUAUGAACCACCCUUGAAUUGUGAGAUAGAAUUAAAGGAGGACAAUGGAGUUUGUCCGACGCCAAAUGUGAUGGCAGGACAAGUUGUUUCUUACCUGGAGGAGAAAGGAUUUCUUCAUUGUUAGGGAGAUGUUCAUAUAUCUAUUGUCUGAUUUCGAUGACUCCCAGUAUAUUCUCUAACUAUAAUGUUUCUUCCAGUCGAAGUUGAAAUCGUAUUAAGUGGACUUGUAAAAUUCAUCAGCUAUAUAUAUGAAAACAGCCAUUCCAUUGAAUGGUGAAGAUUAAAUAAUUGUGAAUUAUGUGCAGCUCAAGAGUUAAGGCUCAUAAUCUCUUUUAAGUUUUACACAUUCAAGUAUUUUCAACAACCAGAUACAAGGCUAUGUUUUGACUAUGACUAUUAGAGAGUGUGAUUUUUGUUUUCAUGUGUUUAGUCCUAAUGAACAAGUUAAUCGGUUCAUUAUGAGUAGUUUAAAUAUACAAUCACUUGUUUUUUUCUUGGAAAUUGGCUGUCAAAAUAUUUUUAUAAUUCUGGCAACUAAUGAACUAAUUAUUGAGUCAACAA